AGAAAUAUGUCUGAUAAAAGAGUUACUUUGAUAGAGUGAACAAUAGAGGUUUAAAUCCUCUUAUUUCUA
Molecule: transfer RNA, 69 nt
Filed under: Canis aureus cruesemanni
Lineage: Eukaryota; Metazoa; Chordata; Mammalia; Carnivora; Canidae
Description: tRNA-Ile
Rfam family: tRNA
About the family: Transfer RNA (tRNA) molecules are approximately 80 nucleotides in length. Their secondary structure includes four short double-helical elements and three loops (D, anti-codon, and T loops). Further hydrogen bonds mediate the characteristic L-shaped molecular structure. tRNAs have two regions of fundamental functional importance: the anti-codon, which is responsible for specific mRNA codon recognition, and the 3' end, to which the tRNAs corresponding amino acid is attached (by aminoacyl-tRNA synthetases). tRNAs cope with the degeneracy of the genetic code in two manners: having more than one tRNA (with a specific anti-codon) for a particular amino acid; and 'wobble' base-pairing, i.e. permitting non-standard base-pairing at the 3rd anti-codon position.
Source: RNAcentral